GAUCACGGCUCAGGACGAACGCUGGCGGCGUGCUUAACACAUGCAAGUCGAACGAGAAUCUACCGAAAGAGUUUUCGGACAAUGGAUGUAGAGGAAAGUGGCGGACGGGUGAGUAACGCGUGAGGAACCUGCCUUGAAGAGGGGGACAACAGUUGGAAACGACUGCUAAUACCGCAUGACGCAUAGGGGUCGCAUGAUCUUUAUGCCAAAGAUUUAUCGCUUCAAGAUGGCCUCGCGU
Molecule: ribosomal RNA, 238 nt
Filed under: uncultured bacterium
Lineage: Bacteria
Description: partial 16S ribosomal RNA
Rfam family: Bacterial small subunit ribosomal RNA
Source: RNAcentral